CUGCGAUGGUGCUGUGGGAUCUCACUAAUGUCAGGAUAUUCAUAGAUCUGGAGCAGGACGUCCAUCAGGAAUGUGUCUCUCUUUGACCAGCAGAUCGAUGACGUCAAUGAAAAGAAAAGUCAUUUCAGAGCUGGAACAAGUUCAUGCAUUCUGAUGAAAGAUUUCAAGACAAACACCGCUCUGUGACCAUAAAACUACAAGGAGAACAAGCAAAAGCUUUCCCUGAAAAUGUGAAGUUUAUUCCCCGGUGUGACCCUCAACCUGACACGUGUGGAAUAACAACAAAACUGCCUCGCAUGUGCAUGCAAAGGUGUCUCCCGCCUCCUUAGGAAGCACUUCUGCCAAGGUGCUCAUGUGAAAUGAAUGUUUAUCAGCAAGACUGUUUAAGCGAUGGUGACCAGUGAUUUCUACAGGAGAUGCACUGUUGGAUGCGAGCUUGGACCGAUGCCCGGACGCUCUUUACCACCCUGUAUGUGUGAUCGCAUUAGGAAACCGAAAACAAGACACUGAAAGCCCAUCAUGCAGUGCUCGCAGCAGCCAUCUAAGCUUGAUAAAGAAAUGCCGCCUGCUCGGGGUACCUGGUAAUGGGCAGUAAAGGCUGACUGGUCAGACAUCAUGUGAUGGCCUAUUAUUAAAUGUUUGCGUCAUGAAGAACUGUGAAUUGCUCUGUUGCAGUGGGUGGCUUUUUUAUGCUUUAGGUCCAUUGUAGCCCUUAAAGUCUGGACUGUUAAAAGAGCAUUUUGUCUUGAUAAGAGUGGGCUUUUUGUUAAAUUUAAUUUCAGUUCAAAGAAAAAAAAAAAACUGUGCUUUUGCUCUAUUUGGAGCUUGACAUACUGGCUAUCAUGAACUGUCAUUGCACGGAAAAGAACAGUGCAGAGAUCCUAAUGCCAUUUACACCAAGGACGAUAACUAUAAAGAUAAUGUUUUGAAGAAACUGUAUGUAGUUUUGUAUAGGCUAUUUUUCCAACUUUUAUUGCAGUUUAGUGAGUGGAAUUCACUGUCGUUAAUAUAUAACUGUCAUAAUUAUAGUGCAUAGCUGUACACGUGCAUUUGUUGCUGCUGUAAAGUGAUGGAAGCUUUUCGAAGCUCUGAAUCAAUUGAGUCAAUUGUUACGUAAAACGUUUCUAAGCAUUCAAAAGACCACAGGUCAAGAUCAAACAAGGUCAAGAAGCAAUUAUUGUUGUUAUUUUUGUAUUAUAUAUAUAUCAAAAUUAACCUAAAUAAUAAAAGCCAUCUAGCAGCGAAUCAGAAUUUUGAAAUGUUUUCAAACCCAGGUUCGACGUAACGAAGCCUCAUUUGCUGAAUUCACGUGACUUGGCGAGUUCGAUACAAGCUCUAAACCACUAAUUCGAAACAUAUGAUUCAUAAAUGUUUCGAAGCUUCACGAAGCAGUUUUGCGAAAGCACCGAUCAUUACCGCCCUUUUCGUGGAAUUUUAUACCCACGCACCAAACUUACUCUCAGAAAGGACUUUUGGAAAGAAAUAGAAGAUAUUCGCCGUAUUAGAAGUCAAUGUACCAUCAAAAUGAUUUUGAAACUGAUACAUUGACUUUAAAGAGCGCGCAAGAAUUCGAAAACCGCAGCGCGCACUUUGAAUAAAUAAAACGUUAUCGUCCCUCACAUAUCGUUAUCACAUUUCCGGGUUUCUCAGCAGCGGAAGUCGUCAUAGUUGGGUAAACUUUGAGAGCAGUGAAUGGGAGAGUACUACAAAUAUAUAUUUUUUUGCAUUCCCAUCAAGUGUUUUCACAAUUUUCAAUCAAAGGAAAAGGUUUGAGAGAGACUGAUAACGGCAGUCAGAAGAGGGAACGAUGUCAAUUUAUUUUUUGUAAUUUGAUGCAAAGGUGAUAUAAUACAAAGUAUAGUGUUAUAAAUGUACAUACAUUUAAAAAAAAAAUCUAAAUAUAAAAAACUUGAGGAUUUACGUUGCUGAUGGCCGUUGAAACGCGUCAUCACAGUCUUGUGAAAAGGGUCUGUUGUUGUUGUUUUUGUUUUUAAUAGAUAAUUAAAUUAUAUGUCUUUAUUUAAUUUCUGAACUAUUUCUCUGCAGAUCAGUAAUCUGACUAAUCACAAAUGAACGAUGCACAAAUUAAUCUUAGAGUUAGAAGAGCUUAAAGAUGCUCCAAUAAUUUGAGCACUAAAGCUGUGCUGCUAAUUUCCUUUUUAUUGGCACUCUGCAUUAAACUGUAGUGCUUAAUUACUCAUUUCUAGUAAUCGGCCUGAACCCGAGGCUGCUGACUUUAACAGUACAGUGCAAACAAUAAUUAGGUCAAUGGCACAUUAAUUUGGCCAGUGAGCAUUGAAAGGGAAGUCUCCUAAAUAUGUCCUCUGGCAGUGAGUCUAGUUCUCAGUGCAUUUUACAAAUGCAUGCAAGAAAUCAAUACUAUUAUUAAGAGAAACAAGAUAAAUGCUGUUGGAUUUAAGAGAGUUCAUAUUUAGGCUGAUAGCAACACAAAGAUAAAUGAAUAUGCACUUAAGAUACUUGCUACAGUUUUGCAUUUGUUUGUUUCUUGUGCUCAACAAAUUUCUUUUGAAAUUGUUUAGUUUUCAAUAAUAUGCAUAUAUUAAACAUGCUGCCAUUGUGUUAGUCAUUAAAUUCAUGCAGGCCCAU
RNAcentral lists this long non-coding RNA (2607 nucleotides) under Sinocyclocheilus anshuiensis. RNAcentral describes it as "lncRNA (ENSSANG00000014259.1)". Lineage: Eukaryota; Metazoa; Chordata; Actinopteri; Cypriniformes; Cyprinidae. The record is from RNAcentral.